AUUUUAGUGAAAAAGUGCCUGAGCUUUCUGCUGUUUUUCAGUAGAGCUAUUGGGAAGUCGGAGACAGAGAGUUCAUAAAGGGCAUCAGAAGCAAGAAGGAAAGUGAGGUUGCCAGAUAAAAAGGUGGAUAGAAAAGGAAAAGCUUUUUAAAGCUAGAAAAAGGUGAAAUAAAUACUCUAGCUACAGAGGAAUAAGGAUUUGAAAUGAAACAGAAAAUCAGAUAAUAAACCGAUUCAAAUCCUGACUCAUUUUUUCCUUCAUUUUGUCCCCCACAUCUGCACUCUAUUCAAAGCAGGACAUUCAAUGAUCCAGGUAGAUGAGAACUGUGAAAACCUUGAACUUUCUGAACAGCCCAAGGGUGGAUUUCAGAGGCAUUCAAGAUGUUGCGCUGAGAUCUUUCUCCUUUGAAGCUGCUGGGAGUUUUGUCACAGACUUCAAUCAGGAAGAGAUUUCACUCUCAGCAGGAGAGCUGCGAUUCCAUCACUGCUCCUAUUCAUAACCAGUGUCUCUCAAGAUCAGGAGGGGACCAUCACUUCCUCUCAAACUGCUGAGAUAAUGACCAGCAUAAACUGUGAAUUCUACCAACAAGAGUGCUAAAGGACAGAAAGAUGACAAAUACCUUUUUGUCAUUGCCAUCAGUAUUUAUAUAGACAGUAUUCGUAAUACUGCAGCAUAACUGGAAUGCAUUUAUUCUGUUUUGGAAAGAUCAGUUUUACACAGAAACGUAGGAGGGACAACUAAACUAGAUGUGUAAUACUUGUUUAGCUGACCUGGUCUUAAACCUGGGGCUGAUUUGAAUUACAGCCUCUCUUCAAUUAUAAAUAUAUAUUUUCUUGAAAUGUAGAAUCAACUACACUCAAAAUGAAAUAUUUUAUGUCAUUUUCAGAAAUUUUACAGGAGAAAAAUCUCCUUUCUAUGCAGCUCUAAUUCUGAAUAUCUACAGUACAGCAUUGUUAUAAGCAUGAGCUUUCAAUGCAACUUUCAGAUUAAUGUACACCAAAAGAAAAAGUGUGAAUUGUAUUUAUUAUGCCUUAUUCUUUAAGAAGAAUCUCAUGCAAGUACUUGUUUUCAUAGAUUAAUCCUAGU
This 1086-nucleotide long non-coding RNA is filed under the name Phasianus colchicus (ring-necked pheasant). RNAcentral's name for it is "lncRNA (ENSPCLG00000004281.1)". The record is from RNAcentral. Lineage: Eukaryota; Metazoa; Chordata; Aves; Galliformes; Phasianidae.